Long non-coding RNA from Asparagus officinalis (garden asparagus), 630 nucleotides. RefSeq lists it as uncharacterized. NCBI's taxonomy places the organism in Eukaryota, Viridiplantae, Streptophyta, Magnoliopsida, Asparagales, Asparagaceae. The record is from RefSeq and is a predicted model, not a curated record. The transcript is spliced from 4 exons.
UUGAGCCUUCGCUUUGGGCUGAAACGUAGAAACGCCCAAACCAAACGGUUUUGAGCGUGUUCGUUUCCUCCCUCUUCUACCGCCAACUGACCACCACAUCCUCCUCGUCGCGAUCGCCACUGGGAUCGUCUCCAUCGCGGUGGAAGUCAUCGUAGUCCUCCAAAGGGGGUUCAUAAAGGCUGGUCAAGAAUCAAGAUAAUACCAAAAGAGUUUCCAAGAAAGGUGGAUAUCCGACAAGGAUGUUGACUUCAUGAUAGAAGAAUUUCUCUUACCUUGCUGAAGAAGUUGUUAAAAGCUCGUACGGAAAAUGUGUUGGAAACUUUUUUUCAAGAUGCUGUGAUGCUAGUUUGUUAAGCGAAUUAUAUUCUGAUGUAGAAGCCUUGUGGAUUGUACAUAAUGGACGAUAGGUGACGUUCUACGGUGUCAAGUGAGCUACAUUUGAAGUUCAUAUGUAAUGGACAUGUAUUCUUCUUUUAAUAAACAUGUAGCAGACAAAUAUUCUUGAUUGAAUAAUAGGGUCUCUUAUAUUCUGAUUUUGACAUAGCAGCAACACCUUGGGAUGGCUCCUCCAUUGUUUACUCUAAUAUUUAUUUUUUACUGCAUAUCCCAAUCUAAGAUAAAAGAGGAUGG